RNAcentral lists this unclassified non-coding RNA (280 nucleotides) under uncultured fungus. RNAcentral's name for it is "partial contains small subunit ribosomal RNA, internal transcribed spacer 1, and 5.8S ribosomal RNA". The stretch from base 1 to 73 matches the Rfam family "Eukaryotic small subunit ribosomal RNA", at positions 1759 to 1831 of the family's 1831-position model. The record is from RNAcentral. Lineage: Eukaryota; Fungi.
CCAAACUUGGUCAUUUAGAGGAAGUAAAAGUCGUAACAAGGUCUCCGUUGGUGAACCAGCGGAGGGAUCAUUACAGAGUCGUAAAACACUCCCAACCCCUUUGUAAAUCUACCUGUUUUCGUUGCUUCGGCAGGCGGCCCCAGGGCGGGGCCAUGGCCGCGAGGUGCCUGCCGAAGAACACACAAACUCUUGUUUCAGUGGUCUUCAGAGUAUAAAACACAAAUAAGUCAAAACUUUCAACAACGGAUCUCUUGGUUCUAGCAUCGAUGAAGAACGCAGC